This 908-nucleotide long non-coding RNA is filed under the name Fukomys damarensis (Damara mole-rat). Its description in RNAcentral is "lncRNA (ENSFDAG00000022959.1)". The record is from RNAcentral. Lineage: Eukaryota; Metazoa; Chordata; Mammalia; Rodentia; Bathyergidae.
CAUGGAUAAGUUGAAAUCAAUCAAAGUAUCAUUCCUUCUUACUCUAUGAGUUUUAAGACUUACUGAGAGCUGUGUAGGAAUUUCUGUUCCUGUGCCUGGGAAGAUGGUGCUGUCCAUGAAGCCCCACUAUGCAACAGUCCUGGGUAUCAUUUGCCACUAGUCUUCAGUGGUCAGGUUAGGUCCUGUCUUGAGAUAAAAACUGUUUUUGUCCUGCAUUUGUUGGAAAUGCUAUCACAUGUGCUCUGGCCUGUUUUCACUGUGCAUCUGUACUCAAGGGAAUUGUUAUUGCCAGGUAAAAUGACCAGAUUUAUGACUCAAUUUCCCAUUGUUGUCUUUGCUAUUAUGAAUUCACACACACAUGCACACACAUGCACACACACACACACACACACACACACACACACACCCUACCUUUAGGUAUAUUACUGCUUCUCUGCUGUCAGCCUUAAGACAUUUGGAUUUUCUCUGUGCUUCACAUUUCAAAUCUGAUGAGCCCUUGACACUUCUCAGCUUUUAUUCAGGGCCUUGUGAGAAAAGAACUCCAGCUGUCUUUGCAGAGCCCCUGCAGAACAUGUGCCAAGAGUAUACUGAGAGCAGCUUCAGAUGACAACUUAAAGCAGACUGAAAUGUCUGAUUCCACUGGACAGUAUGCUUCUUUCAAGUAGAAGACUCCAGUUAGCAGUGAAUGAGGCUGAGAGACUGAGCUGGUGCAAUGAGAUUGGUUACAGGGAGGCAAUGCAUCCUUCUUUCUUCUUUUGGGAGAACUGUAACCUGCUAAACAAGGGAACAGACAUCAUUCAGGUACUUUUACAUGGGUAGUAACAUAAGUAACAGUAUUUAUUACUUGAUUUGUUUUUUAAAUGCUCAAAUUUUCAUUCAUAGCACAAUGUCCCAUUAUAAUUUCCAAG